Molecule: ribosomal RNA, 492 nt
Filed under: uncultured bacterium
Lineage: Bacteria
Description: partial 16S ribosomal RNA
Rfam family: Bacterial small subunit ribosomal RNA
Source: RNAcentral
AGUGAACGCUGGCGGUAGGCCUAACACAUGCAAGUCGAACGCCAUUACAUUAAGAGCUUGCUCUUACGGGUGGCGAGUGGCUUACUUGUGAGUAAUACAUCUGCCUCUACUUUUUCGUGGUCCAUCACGUAGGGAAACUUACGCUCCUUCCGCAUACUUCCUACGGUUGUUAGCAUUUUAUCUUCGUACCUUGCUCGCUUUUAUGCGUCGAUUUCGGUUUCGAUAGUUUGCGGGGUAAAGGCCCACCAAGGCUACGUUCCGUAGCUGGUCUGAGAGGAUGAGCAGCCACACUGGAAGUGAGCCACGGUCCAGACGCCUACGGGAGGAAGCAGUGGGGAAUAGUGGAAAAUGGGAGGAAGCCUGACCUAGCCAUAACGCGUGGGUGAAGAAGGAAUUCGGGUUGUAAAGCCCUAUUGUUGGGAAAGAAAAGCAGCAGGUUAAUACCGCGCUGUUAUGACAGUACCCAAAGAAUAAGCACCGGCUAACUUCGUG